AUUGAACGCUGGCGGAAUGCUUUACACAUGCAAGUCGAACGGUAGAGGGGGCAACCCCUCGAGAGUGGCGAACGGGUGAGUAAUAUAUCGGAACGUGCCCAGUCGUGGGGGAUAACGUAGCGAAGGUUAGGUUAAAACCGCAUCCGAUCUAAGGAUGAAGGCGGGGGAUGGCAAGACUCGGGGCGAUUGAAGCGGCCGAUAUCAGGUUAGGUAGUUGGUGGGGUAAAGGCUCACCAAGCCAACGAUCUGUACCUGGUCUGAGAGGACGACCAGCCACACUGGAACUGAGACACGGUCCAGACUCCUACGGGAGGCAGCAGUGGGGAAUUUUGGACAAUGGACGCAAGUCUGAUCCAGCCAUUCCGCGUGCAGGAUGAAGGCCCUCGGGUUGUAAACUGCUUUUGUACGGAACGAAAAGGUCUCUCUUAAUACGGGGGACUCAUGACGGUACCGUAAGAAUAAGCACCGGCUAACUACGUGCCAGCCGCCGCCGUAA
RNAcentral lists this ribosomal RNA (496 nucleotides) under uncultured bacterium. Its description in RNAcentral is "partial 16S ribosomal RNA". It matches the Rfam family "Bacterial small subunit ribosomal RNA", at positions 30 to 523 of the family's 1533-position model. The record is from RNAcentral.